GGCUCAGGAUGAACGCUAGCUACAGGCUUAACACAUGCAAGUCGAGGGGAAACGAUAUUGGAAGCUUGCUUCCGAUAGGCGUCGACCGGCGCACGGGUGAGUAACACGUAUCCAACCUGCCGUCUACUCUUGGACAGCCUUCUGAAAGGAAGAUUAAUACAAGAUGGCAUCAUGAGUCCGCAUGUUCACAUGAUUAAAGGUAUUCCGGUAGACGAUGGGGAUGCGUUCCAUUAGAUAGUAGGCGGGGUAACGGCCACCUAGUCUUCGAUGGAUAGGGGUUCUGAGAGGAAGGUCCCCCACAUUGGAACUGAGACACGGUCCAAACUCCUACGGGAGGCAGCAGUGAGGAAUAUUGGUCAAUGGACGAGAGUCUGAACCAGCCAAGUAGCGUGAAGGAUGAAGGUCCUACGGAUUGUAAACUUCUUUUAUAAGGGAAUAAACCCUCCCACGUGUGGGAGCUUGUAUGUACCUUAUGAAUAAGCAUCGGCUAACUCCGUG
RNAcentral lists this ribosomal RNA (498 nucleotides) under uncultured bacterium. RNAcentral describes it as "bacterial SSU rRNA". It matches the Rfam family "Bacterial small subunit ribosomal RNA", at positions 21 to 507 of the family's 1533-position model. The record is from RNAcentral.